UCUUAAAAUUUUUGACUUUAACAUUUUAAAUAAAGCAUAAUAAAAAUAUUAGUUACCUAUAAUAUUACUCGAUAAAAAAUGAGAAAUUGUUUAAAAUACCAUAAAUUGGCUACAAAUGCGAAGUUAGAUAGAUGAUAGAAGGUGCACAUGCACCCAUGACUUGUUAAAAAACUAAUGUAUUUCUUCACUAGUUGUUGUGACCCAGUAAAAACAACUACUUGAUUCGUCUCUGGUUGGCUACCAUUUUUCAAAAUAAGUUGAGUGAAAUGUAGAAUAUUUAUGAAAAUGAUUAUCUUUUAAAGAUAAAUUUGAUACGUGGUAACAAAUUUUUGGUAAAAUUAAAUUUGCUCUUGAAGUUGGUACCAAAUCCAACCAAAUUUCACGAGUAAAUGAUUUUUUACUUGAAAUAUAAGGGCCUGCAGACAAACAAAUAUGCAUUAAAUUUUCAUGAGUAAGUGACCUUUUGCUUGUAAGUAUAGGGCAGACAGAGACAAAUAUGCAUAAUGAGUGCUUGACGUUUAUACCUAAAAACAUCACGAAUGAAUUGAACCAUAAUAUACAUCAUUUAAUUUGUAAAUUAUAAGUCGCAGUUAGUUUAUAUAUACAAUGACUUUGAGUAUUUAUACGCAAUGACUUAAUUGGAUACUCACGAUAAUCUAUUGUAGCGUGCGGUGCCAAACUUGGUUAAUGACUUUGAUACUCUCGAUAAGAUUUUAACCAACCUAUUUUUUUCUGGACACAAUUAACCGGACCGUAUAACGCCAUGGCACACGCAAACAACAUUUCAAGUGGACUGUGUUGCUAAUAUUAAUCGUGGUGCAUGACUUAGUCUCAAUUGUAUCAAAAACAUAAUAUUUUGUGUUUGCAUUAGUAAAUACUAUAUUUUAGGAGACUUGUUGCCUUCCUAAGAAGGAAGGAGGACUGGGCCUCCGAUGCUUUGAGACUUAGAACAAAACCCUCUGCGUACGGCUUAUUUGGCUUCUAUUUGCAGAAGGAGGUUCUCUAUCGGUGGCUUGGCACAAGCAGUACCACCUCUAGGACAGUAAUUUCUGGGCCCUCACCGAACAUGCCCACGACUCUUGGCACUGGAAAUCACUUCUUAAGCUCAGGCCUCUGGCCCGGCCCUUUAUCACUUGUAGUUUGUACUAUAAAAAAUGGCUGUUCUGCAAGCUUCUGGUUCGAUCAAUGGACUCCGCUGGGAUCCUUGUGUAAUGACCCACCACUCCCACCAUCUCCACUUCUUUCUCCAACCCCACCACUUCCAACUUCUUCUCCACCAUCUCCACCUUCUUCCCCACCACCUCCAUCUUCUUUAAAAUUAAGAAAAAGAGAGAGAGAGAGAUAGAGAGAGAGAGAAAGAGAGAGAGAAGAAGAAGAAGAAGGGAGAAAGCUCACCUGAGCUCGUCGCCGGAGCCACCACACGCCAGGACGUCGUAAAGCUCGUCACCACCAUCAUCCGCAACCAAAGACCACCAUCGUGUUCCUCUUGUCGAGACGAAUCCAUAGCCACCAAAAACGCCUCAAACGGAGCCCGGACGAAGCCGCACGCGCCUCCGGAAGUUCAUCUCUGCGCGCACGUGUACCUCACGCGCCGCCGCCGGAAAACGUCGCCACCGCCGGACCACCGUCCCCCACCGCCGGUGACCGACACCGGUGACUCGCCGGCGACUCGGUCAACUCGGCCGAGUCAACUCAGUGAGUCAACUCGGUUGACUCGGUUAACCGAUCGGUUAGCCGGUUUAAAUUGAUUUCGGUUCGGUUAGGGUAAACCGGUCGGUUUAGUCAAAUCGAUUUCUGGUCAAAGCUUGACCGGGUUGACUUUGACCAGCGGGUUGACUUUUCCGAAAACCUUGACCAGUUCCGUUUUCGACCGUUCGAAAGGCGUUCUGACUCAGAAUUUCGAUCUGAUUUCAGAUAUGGAGUCUAUUUGAGCAGCUGGAGUUCAUAGACAACACUUUUCUAUUGCUAAGGUGAG
This is a long non-coding RNA of Brassica napus (rape), 1975 nucleotides long. RefSeq lists it as uncharacterized. NCBI's taxonomy places the organism in Eukaryota, Viridiplantae, Streptophyta, Magnoliopsida, Brassicales, Brassicaceae. The record is from RefSeq and is a predicted model, not a curated record. The transcript has 2 exons.